GAAAUGUUGGGUUAAGUCCCGCAACGAGCGCAACCCUUAUCCUUUGUUGCCAGCGGUCCGGCCGGGAACUCAAAGGAGACUGCCAGUGAUAAACUGGAGGAAGGUGGGGAUGACGUCAAGUCAUCAUGGCCCUUACGACCAGGGCUACACACGUGCUACAAUGGCGCAUACAAAGAGAAGCGACCUCGCGAGAGCAAGCGGACCUCAUAAAGUGCGUCGUAGUCCGGAUUGGAGUCUGCAACUCGACUCCAUGAAGUCGGAAUCGCUAGUAAUCGUGGAUCAGAAUGCCACGGUGAAUACGUUCCCGGGCCUUGUACACACCGCCCGUCACACCAUGGGAGUGGGUUGCAAAAGAAGUAGGUAGCUUAACCUUCGGGAGGGCGCUUACCACUUUGUGAUUCAUGACUGGGGUGAAGUCGUAACAAGGUAACCGUAGGGGAACCUGCGGUUGGAUCACCUCCUU
This 463-nucleotide ribosomal RNA is filed under the name Escherichia coli. RNAcentral describes it as "bacterial SSU rRNA". It matches the Rfam family "Bacterial small subunit ribosomal RNA", at positions 1069 to 1532 of the family's 1533-position model. Lineage: Bacteria; Pseudomonadati; Pseudomonadota; Gammaproteobacteria; Enterobacterales; Enterobacteriaceae. The record is from RNAcentral.